GCCAUUUUGCCAACAAACAGAAAUUAAAAUGAUAAAGAUGGCAACUUGAGUUAAAGAGACAUAUAUUUAUAACAAGAGCUCUCUAUAUUCAAAAAUCACAAUUAAAAUUAGCCUCAUUUAGGAAAGUUUCUUCAGAGGGUGGGGAAGUCUGACAGCUCAGGCUAAACAAACCCUAACCCAGGUCCAGUAAACCAAGGUAGCAUUUACUCCCAAUAACAAUCACUGCAAAUAACUGAAUUUAAUCAUGGAAGGAGAAACGCAGGUGCACCUUGACUUACAAUGGUGCUACCGCCCAUAACCCAUCGCAAAUAGAAAAUAUUGAAAGUUAAAAAUGCGUUUAACCCACCUACGCUACCCAAUGCUGAGUUUCAAUUGUUUUCCUUCCUGAUUGAUCUCUGCGGUCUCCAAGCUGCCUGGGAGCUACUAGAGAGGACCAUCCCACAUCUCUCCAUGCCAGAAAAAGAUCAAAAUUCAAAGGACAUUUUCUGCUGAAUACAUAUUAUUUUUGCAC
Molecule: long non-coding RNA, 511 nt
Filed under: Marmota monax (woodchuck)
Lineage: Eukaryota; Metazoa; Chordata; Mammalia; Rodentia; Sciuridae
Source: RNAcentral